This 328-nucleotide ribosomal RNA is filed under the name uncultured eukaryote. RNAcentral describes it as "partial 18S ribosomal RNA". It matches the Rfam family "Eukaryotic small subunit ribosomal RNA", at positions 1470 to 1796 of the family's 1831-position model. The record is from RNAcentral.
CCCUUAGAUGUCCUGGGCUGCACGCGCGCUACACUGACGAACUCAACGAGCUUAUCACCUUGGCAGAGAUGUCUGGGUAAUCUUUUGAAAGUUCGUCGUGCUGGGGAUAGAUGAUUGUAAUUAUUCGUCUUGAACGAGGAAUUCCUAGUAAGUGUGAGUCAUCAGCUUGCGUCGAUUACGUCCCUGCCCUUUGUACACACCGCCCGUCGCUCCUACCGAUUGGGUGUGCUGGUGAAAUGUUCGGAUCGGCCGUUUGUCGCGGUUUCCGCGUCAUGUGGCUGAGAAGUUCAUUAAACCCUCCCACCUAGAGGAAGGAGAAGUCGUAACA